Long non-coding RNA from Salvia splendens (bonfire salvia), 2292 nucleotides. RefSeq lists it as uncharacterized. The record is from RefSeq and is a predicted model, not a curated record. The transcript is spliced from 2 exons. Lineage: Eukaryota; Viridiplantae; Streptophyta; Magnoliopsida; Lamiales; Lamiaceae.
AAAGCAAGAAACCAUUAUUGCUUAAAAGAGGAAUGUGCAAGGCACUUUUCAUUGAUCGAAGAAGAUGCAAUACAUAUACAUCUAUAUAUAAUAACUACAAGUGGAAAAACUGCCUCAUGGAGUAACUGCCUAGUAAACGUGGGAAAGUGCAGCAUUGCAUCAAGAACAUAGGAGGGUGCUCUCAUCCGAUUGCUCUCAUCCUUUCAGCAGAAUAUCCUUCUAACUUGGCAAGGAUCCUCUUGAGCUGAUGUAAAGCUCCUACCGAUACAGAAUCACUCAAAAUAAAGAUCUCGUUGCUUGAUUCGUCUCCGCCGCCGUUUCUGUCGACAGUCCUUGUGCCUUCUUUCCAGACACCAUCCAGGACUCCGCAUUUAUUCAGUACAGCUUUGCUGCUUCGGAUCUUAAAAUUUUAACUGUUUCAUAUAUCUAUUGAUAUGCGAUUUCAAUUUCGUCGCGUGUCUUCUGCUUUUUUUUGCUAGCUCAAUUGAAUUAGUAUCUAGGUUUUUAAUCGUUUCCCCCAAAACCCUGUUUUGGUUGCUUUUGUGAGAAAUUGGGAUUGACAGAGGUCAAUUAUUUCACCUUCUGAUUGAUUCAACCCAUUUUGUUUGCUAGGUUAAUUCGUUUUUGGAUUUUUGUCAACUAAAAGUUCGUUUUCGCUAGCUCAAUUGAAUUAGUGGCUAGGUUUUUAAUCGUUUUUCACUCAAACCCUGAAUGUGUUUGCUUUUGUGAGGAAUUGAGAUUAACAGAGGUGAAUUGCCGUACCUUUCUGAUUGAUACAUCUCAUUUUGUUGAUCAGGUUAAUUAGUUUUUGGGUUUUUAUGUUUGCCUACUAAAAAGAUCGAUUUUUUGUCUAAUCAUACGCAUAUUUUGUAAAUGUUUUGUAAAAAAAGACGUUGAAAUUUGAAAUACGAAAGCUAGCAAAAGCUCAAUGCUGGCAUGUCCUGGGUGCUGUGUGGAAGAAGAUGCAGAGAAGUUUGCCGAUUUGCUUUCUCGUCGUUUAUAUUUUUUUAUUGCACUUAUCACUUAUUUUGAUGUUUAAUUGGAACUCUCUGUAGUUGAAAUGCAUAGCUUCUUUGAAUUUGUGAUUUAUGUUUGAGUGCAUCUAGAUUACUUAAUGAGGAAAAAGUAUGGCGGAUCCUUUUGCCUGAUUCAACUGCCCGGCCUAUGGCUGCUGAUUGUCGAGAUUCGAGGCUUGGAUAUGAUUGUUGCCUUACCCAUCUGAUGCUAAAUUCAGUCAGAACUAGUAAUAAGUUUCUCAUAUGUUCAGGGGCUGUUUACUUUGACUGAUAUCUUAGAUUGAACAAUUAGAUUGGGUUUGAAACAUAAUAACUUGAUCUAUGCUGUUUGGUUCUUGGAUUUAAGUUUGAUAUGGAGAAGGAAGAUGAUGAGCUUUGACAGGUACUGCUGAAUGGGCUCACUUUUCGUUUCAGGUGUUUCUCCUGGUGCAGCCAAUUUUAUUUGUGCUUGUGCCGAGCAUCUGAAAUGAAUAGGUCCACCUGAUUAAUGUUAAUCAUAAGCUGAAUCCUCUCUGUCCGAAGCAACGUCGCAUGACUCAAAUCUUGAGGCUACUACCUUUCAUCCUUGUUCAGUAAAGGCAUUUUCAUAUACUCGAAUAAAAAUAAAUGCUGAUUUAUGGAGUACUAUUCUUACAUCUAUGUUUGUUCGGAGUGAAUAGUCUACUUGAUUAAUGUUUAUCAUAAGCUGAUUCCUCUCUGCCCAAAUCUCAAUUCUAGGUGUCAUAUCUUGAUCGUACAACAUUUGAUCCUUGUUCAAUUCUAGGAAAUGGGAAUGAGUCUUGCUGGAGUCUUGUUAUGUACUAGUACUAUAUGUUUCUUUGUAGUGAAAUCUUGCAAGCAAAAGGUAGAUUUGUGUCUUUAGUUAUUUUUGCUAUUCAUUAAGAUGAAUUUCUUGUUAUGUAAAGGAAGCAUUUCAAGCUGCAAUGCAGGCUGAGAAUGUCGAACAGUUUCUCAUGGUUCGAGCAUCUCAGCAAUGCUUAAACGAGCUUACUGUGAUCAGAUGUUCGAGUUAUGCUGGUUGUGCUUUUGCAUCCACCAAAAUGAGGUUGGGACUUCAGCUGCUUAACUUCAUACUAGUGUUGCUGUUAAGAGAAAUAGUUUUAGCCUUGUUAUUAUUCCUUUUCAGCCGCAGUUUAUACAACAACUGCAUAAUUUUAUUUUAAGUGCUGUAGGAGUUGGGUGCAUUUAAAGGAGAAGUGUGUAUUAAAGUGAUUUUUGUAGCUUUCUUCCAUCUUUUUUAUUGAAAUAAAUCCUUCCAUCUCAAUAAUUCAAGUUA